RNAcentral lists this ribosomal RNA (453 nucleotides) under uncultured Porphyromonadaceae bacterium. RNAcentral describes it as "partial 16S ribosomal RNA". It matches the Rfam family "Bacterial small subunit ribosomal RNA", at positions 341 to 792 of the family's 1533-position model. The record is from RNAcentral. Lineage: Bacteria; Pseudomonadati; Bacteroidota; Bacteroidia; Bacteroidales; Porphyromonadaceae.
ACGGAAGGCAGCAGUGAGGAAUAUUGGUCAAUGGGCGGCAGCCUGAACCAGCCAAGUCGCGUGAAGGAUGAAGGUAUUAUGUAUUGUAAACUUCUUUAGCCAAGGAGCAAUAGUGGUCUCGUGAGGCCUUAUGAGAGUACCUGGAUGAUAAGGAUCGGCUAACUACGUGCCAGCAGCCGCGGUAAUACGGAGGCUCCGAGCGUUAUCCGGAUUUAUUGGGUUUAAAGGGUGCGCAGGCGGCCUGUCAAGUCAGUGUUAAAAUCGUGGGGCUCAACCCCAUCCUUCCAUUGAUACUGCCGGGCUUGAUUGCGGUUGAGGUUGGCGGAAUUCGUUGUGUAGCGGUGAGAUGCAUAGAUAUGACGAAGAACUCCGAUUGCGUAGGCAGCUGACCAAGCCGUAAAUGACGCUCACGCACGAAAGUGCGGGGAUCGAACAGGAUUAGAUACCCUGGUA